This 253-nucleotide unclassified non-coding RNA is filed under the name uncultured Micrococcaceae bacterium. Its description in RNAcentral is "contains 16S-23S intergenic spacer region". It matches the Rfam family "Bacterial small subunit ribosomal RNA", at positions 524 to 776 of the family's 1533-position model. Lineage: Bacteria; Bacillati; Actinomycetota; Actinomycetes; Micrococcales; Micrococcaceae. The record is from RNAcentral.
UACGGAGGGGGUUAGCGUUGUUCGGAAUUAUUGGGCGUAAAGAGCUCGUAGGCGGUUUGUCGCGUCUGCCGUGAAAGUCCGGGGCUCAACUCCGGAUCUGCGGUGGGUACGGGCAGACUAGAGUGAUGUAGGGGAGACUGGAAUUCCUGGUGUAGCGGUGAAAUGCGCAGAUAUCAGGAGGAACACCGAUGGCGAAGGCAGGUCUCUGGGCAUUAACUGACGCUGAGGAGCGAAAGCAUGGGGAGCGAACAGG